RNAcentral lists this ribosomal RNA (253 nucleotides) under uncultured bacterium. RNAcentral's name for it is "partial 16S ribosomal RNA". It matches the Rfam family "Bacterial small subunit ribosomal RNA", at positions 524 to 776 of the family's 1533-position model. The record is from RNAcentral.
UACAGAGGUCUCAAGCGUUGUUCGGAUUCAUUGGGCGUAAAGGGUGCGUAGGCGGCGCGGUAAGUCGGGUGUGAAAUCUCGGAGCUUAACUCCGAAACUGCAUUCGAUACUGCCGUGCUUGAGGACUGGAGAGGAGACUGGAAUUUACGGUGUAGCGGUGAAAUGCGUAGAUAUCGUAAGGAAGACCAGUGGCGAAGGCGGCAUCCUGGACCGGUAUUGACGCUGAGGCGCGAAAGCUAGGGGAGCAAACGGG